Molecule: long non-coding RNA, 209 nt
Filed under: Elaeis guineensis (African oil palm)
Lineage: Eukaryota; Viridiplantae; Streptophyta; Magnoliopsida; Arecales; Arecaceae
Description: long non-coding RNA (EGUI_LNC028196)
Source: RNAcentral
CUCUUUUCAACUCUAACACAUGUUCUUUCAAAUUUGAACUUUCUUCUAUGUUGGGUAUAAAAUCCCCUCCCCCAGCCGAAGUUCGUGACAGGAGUGACCCUCCAGAGAUUCUACCGACUUCCGACCUUCGGUGAUAUCUUUCUGAACCUCUCCGACGGCCGAGCCUCCGCAACAUUCCCAAGUUCUGCCGACGGAUAAACCCCCACCAG